Molecule: long non-coding RNA, 1289 nt
Organism: Mauremys mutica (yellowpond turtle)
Lineage: Eukaryota; Metazoa; Chordata; Testudines; Geoemydidae
Exons: 3
Source: RefSeq, a predicted model, not a curated record
AUAUCUCUUUACUGAUAAUGAUUUACCUCCAUCCCCAGACAAUCUAUGGAAUGUUAGCAAGAAACUCCUCCUCCGCCCGCCAUCUCAACUGUUGUGAUUAUCUCUCUUCCUCUAGGCUGUCUUUGAAGUGGCCAAGGUCCAAACCGACAUAGAAAAUGUAAUCAAGUAAUGUUAUCACUAGUUUUCUUGCAUAAGAAUGAGAGGAAAAGCAAUUGCACACAAGAUAUGCAAAGGUUUCAUGAUGAUCAAGGUGGAAACUGGACAGAUCAGUGUCACUCAGCUGUAAUUCAAAGACAGAGCCUGAAAAUUCAACUGUAUUUUCUGGAAAACCUUCUUUUCCAGAACUAGUUCAAAGUUCUGUCACAGAGCCAAUCACUCUGACAAUCUAGCAUCUCUGAGUGGUCCUAUGAGGGCAGCGCCAGUGAUCACAAGUCUCAAAAUGAAAACCCACACUGUCCAUGAAUAGACAGUAAUGUGACAGUGUUUGGAUAUAUCGUACAGCUCUUACCACUUUUUCCUUUUCUCUGACUACUGUGGGUUAGUGUGCAAAUACAUCUGAAACAGAAGUUCCGCACACCACAUGACCGAACAGGCAAGCCAUUUGUCUUCUGUCUCAUUAUUUUUUGAUGUCCUGUUCACCUUCCUUCAAAAUUAGGAUGGAUGGAUUUAUACAAAAACUCCAGCAUCAGCUGCUUCUGCCAAUCUUAUUGCAACCCACUUCAAUUUAAUUUUCCAAAGGUGUCCAAAUCUAUGCUCCAGACAAAGUAGAGAACCAUGGGAAAACUACUGCUGCACCUAAUAAGCUGCAGGAAGCCAUAGCAAUCUAACAAAAUAACAGCCAAAAUAUUCUGAAUGCAGUAACUGCUGAGUAUGAGGCACCAAGAAUAUUUUCAUCCUUUUCACACAUCAGCCUCCUGUUAAACAAUUGUAAUCAGUUUCCUCAAAGAAUAACCAUCUUUCCUUGUGUGUAAUAACUUGGCUUUUAAAUUGCAAUGUAAAGCAGUCUUUCUCCCUUGCCUUUUUCUACCAGUUUCUUCCCUCUCCUUGCUUGUAACAUAAUAGACUAUCACCACAUCAUGCUUAUUGAUCACUUAUAUUGUGUGAGCUUAUUUUUAUCUCCAGACUCUCUUCUCUUGUUCCUCACAGUUGAUGUGGUCUCUUGUCUCUUCCAUUAAGCUUGAGAGCUUUUCAGAGCAGGGACCAUGUUUUCCUAACUGACUGUAUACAGCACCUAGCACAACCAGGCCCAAUCCUGAGUGGGGUUUUGGUGAACUAGUGCAAUGCAAACA